CCUACGGGAGGCAGCAGUGGGGAAUAUUGGGCAAUGGGCGCAAGCCUGACCCAGCAACGCCGCGUGAAGGAAGAAGGCUCUCGGGUUGUAAACCUCUUUUCUCAGGGACGAAGCAAGUGACGGUACCUGAGGAAUAAGCCACGGCUAACUACGUGCCAGCAGCCGCGGUAAUACGUAAGGGGCAAGCGUUAUACGGAUUUACUGGGUGUAAAGGGCGCGUAGGCGGGAAGGCAAGUCAGAUGUGAAAACCACGGGCUCAACCUGUGGCCUGCAUUUGAAACUGUUUUUCUUGAGUAAUGGAGAGGCAGACGGAAUUCCUAGUGUAGCGGUGAAAUGCGUAGAUAUGAGGAGGAACACCAGUUGCGAAGGCAGUCUGCUGGACAGCAACUGACGCUGAGGCGCGAAAGCGUGGGGAGCAAACAGGAUUAGAUACCCGGGUAGUC
Molecule: ribosomal RNA, 443 nt
Filed under: uncultured bacterium
Lineage: Bacteria
Description: partial 16S ribosomal RNA
Rfam family: Bacterial small subunit ribosomal RNA
Source: RNAcentral